This 252-nucleotide unclassified non-coding RNA is filed under the name plant metagenome. RNAcentral's name for it is "partial contains small subunit ribosomal RNA, internal transcribed spacer 1, and 5.8S ribosomal RNA". The stretch from base 1 to 53 matches the Rfam family "Eukaryotic small subunit ribosomal RNA", at positions 1779 to 1831 of the family's 1831-position model. The record is from RNAcentral.
GGAGUAAAAGUCGUAACAAGGUCUCCGUUGGUGAACCAGCGGAGGGAUCAUUACAGAGUUGCAAAACUCCCAAACCAUUGUGAACGUUACCUAUCCCGUUGCUUCGGCGGGCGGCCCGGGCCCCGCGCCCGGCGCCCCCCGGCCCCCCGUGGGCGCCCGCCGGAGGUAAACCAAACCCUUGAAUUGCAUGGCCUCUCUGAGUCUUCUGUACUGAAUAAGUCAAAACUUUCAACAACGGAUCUCUUGGUUCUG